This 73-nucleotide non-coding RNA is filed under the name Martelella mediterranea. The record is from RNAcentral. Lineage: Bacteria; Pseudomonadati; Pseudomonadota; Alphaproteobacteria; Hyphomicrobiales; Aurantimonadaceae.
UUGAUCCGGAUGCGAGGUGACUCGCACGUCCGGUUCUUAGGGGGAUGGAACUUAAUGCCUAUACCGCCCUUGC